This 632-nucleotide long non-coding RNA is filed under the name Daucus carota (carrot). Its description in RNAcentral is "long non-coding RNA (DCAR_LNC004836)". The record is from RNAcentral. Lineage: Eukaryota; Viridiplantae; Streptophyta; Magnoliopsida; Apiales; Apiaceae.
UCAGUCCUAUGUUAACCUGUUUGGGCUUUUCAGAUUUUAAAUUGUUGUUAAUCUCUGAUUUUGGUCUACUCUGUUUAGACUUAGAGGAUUCAGCAACAAAUUUAACAGGUUUAACCUUAGGUUUUUGAGUUUUAACAAACUCUGUUUUUGAUGACUCAGCUUCUGAGUUAUCAGUGUAACCUAGUCCCUUCUUCCAGUUUCCACUACCUAUUGUUUUUGUUAUCAGACUUUACCUCUUUAAGCUUAUGUUUAAGCUGUUUCUGAGUCAUCAGUCCUAUGUUAACCUGUUUGGGCUUAUCAGAUUUUAAAUUGUUGUUAAUCUCUGAUUUUGGUCUAUUCUGUUUAGACUUAGAGGAUUCAGCAACAAAUUUAACAGGUUUAACCUUAGGUUUUUGAGUUUUAACAAACUCUGUUUUUGAUGGCUCAGCUUCUGAGUUAUCAAUGUAACCUAGUCCCUUUUUCCAGUUUCCACUACCUAAGAUAUCCUGAGUAGUUUUGCCUGAAUUAGUCCAUGUUUUAAUAAUGUCUCUUUCCUUAGCAAGUUCUGAUUGAAGAGAUGCAUAUCUCUUUAAUAAUUCAUCUUUGACAAUGACAGCAUCAUCUCUUUCUUUCUGAACUUCUAGCAUCUGAAC